GUCGAGUUCGGUAACGCGGGCUUGUGAUCCGAGUGGAGACUAUAAGGUGAUGGAACGUUGGACCGAUCUUAAUGUGCCGGGUUCGAUUUGGGCUUUCAACCGGCCUGCCCGUUCCAAGCUGAGAGUUGAUGGUUCGGACUCGAGCGAAGGCUUGUGGGUUCGGACUUUCUUAGAGCGGAGGAGACUGCGUUAGACUGGUUUCACAGAGCAGCGUCCACCUCCCGUUCUUGGCAGUGGAAGGAUAACGGGCCGGUGCCUUCCGAGCCCACUAUGACCCAAUAAACCGGUCUCAAUUGGACCAUCACUUUU
This 309-nucleotide signal recognition particle RNA is filed under the name Eutrema salsugineum. RNAcentral's name for it is "Plant signal recognition particle RNA". It matches the Rfam family "Plant signal recognition particle RNA". The record is from Rfam by way of RNAcentral. Lineage: Eukaryota; Viridiplantae; Streptophyta; Magnoliopsida; Brassicales; Brassicaceae.